AUGUCUGGGAUUUUGGCUGGGAGGGCACAUCCUACCAGGAAUGGGCGGCUGAGGGAGCGUCGGCCAUUUUCCCCUCACGUUUUCCCGCUCUUUUUCCCCUCACGUUUUCUCUUUUUCCCCUCACGUUUCCCCCUCUUUUCCCCUCACGUUUCCCGCUCUUUUCCCUUCACAUUUCCCGCUCUUUUCCCCUCACAUUUCCUGCUCUUUUCCCCUCACAUUCCCGUUAUUUUUCCCCUCACAUUUUCCCGCUCUUCUUCCCCUCACGUUUCCUGCUCUUUUUCCCCUCACAUUUCCCACCCUUUCCCCCUCAUGUUUCCUGCUUUUUCCCCUCACAUUUCCUGCUCUUUUCCCCUCACGUUUCCCACCCAUUUCCCCUCAUGUUUCCUGCUUUUUCCCCGCACACUCCCGCUCUUUUCCCCUCACAUUUCCCGCUCUUUUCCCCUCACGUUUCCCUCUCUUUUUCCCCUCACAUCCCCGUUAUUUUUCCCCUCACGUUUCCCGCUCUUUUCCCCUCACAUUCCCAUUAUUUUUCCCCUCACAUUUUCCCGCUCUUUUCCCCUCACGUUUCCCACCAUUUUUCCCCUCACGUUUCCCACUCUUUUUCCCCUCACGUUUCCCGCUCUUUUCCCCUCACGUUUCCCGCUCUUUUUCCCCUCACGUUUCCCCCUCUUUUCCCCUCACGUUUCCCGCUCUUUUCCCUUCACAUUUCCCGCUCUUUUCCCCUCACAUUUCCUGCUCUUUUCCCCUCACAUUCCCGUUAUUUUUCCCCUCACAUUUUCCCGCUCUUCUUCCCCUCACGUUUCCUGCUCUUUUUCCCCUCACAUUUCCCACCCUUUCCCCCUCAUGUUUCCUGCUUUUUCCCCUCACAUUUCCUGCUCUUUUCCCCUCACGUUUCCCACCCAUUUCCCCUCAUGUUUCCUGCUUUUUCCCCGCACACUCCCGCUCUUUUCCCCUCACAUUUCCCGCUCUUUUCCCCUCACGUUUCCCUCUCUUUUUCCCCUCACAUCCCCGUUAUUUUUCCCCUCACGUUUCCCGCUCUUUUCCCCUCACAUUCCCAUUAUUUUUCCCCUCACAUUUUCCCGCUCUUUUUCCCCUCACAUUUCCCGCUCUUUUUCCCCCCUCACGUUUCCCACCAUUUUCCCUCAUAAUUAA
RNAcentral lists this long non-coding RNA (1152 nucleotides) under Cyanistes caeruleus (blue tit). Its description in RNAcentral is "lncRNA (ENSCCEG00000005973.1)". The record is from RNAcentral. Lineage: Eukaryota; Metazoa; Chordata; Aves; Passeriformes; Paridae.